UUUAUUUCGCAUAUUAUUAUCAUUAUAAUAAUCUAUUGUUGUUUAUGACUGUUGCGGUAAGAUACUGUAACGACCCGACCUCCAAGCAAUAAUAACUCGUUGGGUCCAAACCACCGGCCCAAAAUGCUUAAGCCCAGUUAUUAUUAUUAGCGUGUAGGCCUCAUAUAUUCGAAUUAGAAUCAGUUUUCCAUUCGAUGUGUAAUUAUUAGGGUGUUACAAACUCCCCCUGUUUAGACCAUGACAUCCUCGUCGGGUCCAAACUAGAUCAUAGAUGCAGACUAGAACUACCAGGCGAUGUGAGAUUCUAGAGGUGGCUCCUCGGGUUCAAGAGGUGGCUUCCACCAAAUAGGUUGGUAUAGCAUUUUGCUCCGCAUAGCACUUAGCUUUCACACUUCCGGCUAGUAUUCGGCUUUGAUACUAAUUGCAAUGACCUGACCUGCCAGCAAUAAUAACUCGUUGGCCCAAACCACUGGCCCAAAAUGCUUAAGCCAAGUUAUUAUUACUAGCGUGUAGGCCUCAUAUAUUUCAAUCAGAAUCAGUUUUCCACCAGAUGUGGGACUAU
RNAcentral lists this long non-coding RNA (562 nucleotides) under Ananas comosus (pineapple). RNAcentral's name for it is "long non-coding RNA (ACOM_LNC023237)". The record is from RNAcentral. Lineage: Eukaryota; Viridiplantae; Streptophyta; Magnoliopsida; Poales; Bromeliaceae.